RNAcentral lists this long non-coding RNA (4194 nucleotides) under Gossypium barbadense (sea-island cotton). RNAcentral's name for it is "long non-coding RNA (GBAR_LNC021612)". The record is from RNAcentral. Lineage: Eukaryota; Viridiplantae; Streptophyta; Magnoliopsida; Malvales; Malvaceae.
ACGACUUUACUAUCUCUCCAAAGAGAGGAGGUUUACGUUGAUUAAAAAAGGUACUGUUCAAACCAAUCCACAUUCAUCCAUUCAUAUGGGAAAACAAGGUGAGUUCUCUGAAUCCUUUAAGACUCAACCAACCCCUUUGAUCGUUGAUGGAAACAUUGUUGAUGUUUUAGUUUCUAAAACGCAUUCGUACCUUGAUGAGAUUUAUUGUUCUUCUUUGAUUAGUAAUGGAUGACUUGAAAGAUUAUGAGAACCAUUUCUUUCCAUUCCAUCCAAAAACUAUCAACUUUCUUUUAAUUCCUUUAAUUCCUUGUUAGUCGAACCUCUUUUCAACACUUAGCCAAUUUUAAACCUAACUUUCAUUGAUAUUUCCCAUUCUUACCCAACUACAAACAACUUGCUAAUUGGAACGAUACUUUCUCGUCGAUGAUCGGGCAACGCAAAUACGACUCGAAAUCAAACACAAGGUUGGAUCGUAUCAGUUUUCUUCUCAAUUUUCUUCAAAGAGUUGUGGGAAUUAAUUUUUCAUCCUUCAAUUUUCCAAGGAUUAUUUCUUGGAGGGUUGAUUAGAGCCAUUAAUUGAGUUUGUUGAGGUUUAUAUCUCAACAGGUUCAAUUGGACGCUUAUCCAUCUAUCUGUCAUAUCCAUCCGUUUAUUCGAUCCUCCUUCCACUUUUUAUUCUAUCAUUUAUUUAUUUACUUAUUAUUUUGAAUAUUUAUUCUUUAUUCUUAAAUUUCUUAUUUAAUUUAUGUUUUUUUUGUUCGAUUUUUUUUACUGGGUGUUUUAUUUUCUAUUAUUCUAGCCUUAAGUUUUCUUUUGUUUUUAGUUUUUCUUAUUCUAUUAUGCAUUCUAACACAUUUUCACUUCUUGUGUUAAUAGGUACGAAAAGAAUUGCCUCUCCUUUCUUCGUGCAACUUACUUCCUUUGGAGUCGAGUUUUUCUUUGGCUUCUUAGAUCCUUAGGUCAGCUUUGUUGGAGAGUGAUCCCACAUCUUUUUCAAUAUUAUUAAGUUUGAUUACUCGUUAAAAGUUACAAACAAGAAAAUAUUAACUUCUUUUCAUUGCCUUUUAGAGUUAUUUUUUUUAUUGCGAGUGCAUAAUGGUAAGGUUUAAAUUUCUUUGACCAACUUUUCUUGUUUUAGUGUUUUUUAUUUUAGCCUCUAAUAAUGGUACAUACACAUAGUAUGGAAGAGAAGAACAAUAGUAUUUGGAUAGGGCAUAGAUGUCAUAUUUAUAAAAAAAACACCUAUAUAGAUAAGUUUCCAAUGUCGUUCAACCUUUUAUUGUUCAUGGACUUGUCAAAAAAGACAUUGGUACGUAAGACAUAACAAGUUUUGCGAGCUUAAACGACUUAUGGCGGAGCAAACAGAAUGAGCUAGCAAGUGCGUGUGGUGUGACGCGAAGGAUCACAAGGACUCAUAGUGUCCAUCAAAUUCAGUGUCCUUUAUAUUUGAUUUGGUGAAAGGAGUCAUACGAUCCUUGCAAGUCAAGUUAUGUAAGUAUGACACAAAGCCUAUUGAGGAGCUUUCUUGUAGCGACCCAAAAGUCAGUGGUGUCAAAAAAUGCAGUUUCGAGACACCAUUUCCGUAAACAAAUCCCAUAAACAUUUAUGGAGUUAUUAUUUUAGUGAAUUGAAUUUUUUAUAGGUAAAUUUUAUCGAAUUAGAGAUUAAUUAAGGUUUAGAGACUAAAUCAUAAAUUCCAAUCACUAUAGAUUUCUAAUUAAAAAGUAAAGUGAGGACUUAAAUUGCUAUUAACUUAAUUAACUUAAGGCCUAAAAUUGAAAUUAGAGCAUCCUAAUUAACUUAUUAGUGUACAGUAAGAUAUAGGUUAAUUAAAUAAAUUAAAAUAAGAUUUAUAUGUAAAACUUAAAUAAUAAAACAACAUAUUGGAAGGAAAGAGAAAAGCGUUUUGUUCUCAUUUCCUUCAUCAUCGAAUUUGGGAGAAUAAGAAGUUUCAGCCUAGGUUUCUAAUUUUUUUAAGCUUCAAAUUGGUUAGUUUAAUUUAGUCAAUUUCUUGUAAUUUUUAUGUUUUUUAGAUCAUGGAAGCUUAAUCUAGCUAGCCCAUGUGUCUUUCUAAAACUUUUAAAGUUUUAGAAAGUUGCCAUUUUUAUUGUCUUGAAGUUUUAGGCGUUAAAUUGAUAUAUUCUAAGCUUAGAGGUGAAAAAUGACUAAAUUGUGAAGUUAAUUGAUGGUUUUGUACAUUAAGGACUAAAUUGAAUAAAUUGAAUAAAUUGAAAAAUUAACUGUAGAAAUGAGGAAUGGGAGAUCCCUAAUGGUUAACAGUGAAAAUUAAUUUCAAUUUGGAGCUUUAGAUUGAAAGUUAUGUUAGUCUCAGUUUAGGGUCUAAAUUGAAUAAAUUACAAAGUUUAUAUAAAAUGACAAUUGAUUGUGAAAUUGGUUAAUUAUUGAUGGUGUUGUAUGUUUAUGUUAAUCCAUAGCUAAUGUCGAUCCAAAUUAUAUGUUAUACAUUGUUGAGGUAAUUCAUUGAUAAUUAAUUGAACUGAUUUAGUAUAUUUAAAAUUGAAUAUUGAGAUAAGGACUAAAUUGAAUAAAAUACAAAAUUUGUAAUUUAUUUGAUACGUAAUAAUUGAUAUGAAAUAUGGUUGAAACAUGUUAUGUAUGCUAUGAAUUUGUGAAAUGAUGGUGGAUUGUGAAUAUUGGAAUGUUUACUGAACUAUAUGUAAUGAAACAAAAAUUGGUUACCCUAUCAGCUGUUUGGACUAGAGGUGUUCAUGGGCCGGGCGGCCCAGCCCGGCCCGACGGCCCGCCCAAAAUAUGAGAGGGUUUGGGUAAAAAUAUAGGCCUGAAAUAUAGGCUUGGGCAAAAAAUAAGGCCCAUUUAGAAAACGGGCCGGGCCUCAGGCACCACUUUUUUGGCUCGGGCCCGGCCUGGCCCGGCCCGAAUAUAAUAAAUAUAUAUUUUUUAUUUUUAAAAGUAUUUUAAAAUACUUUUUUUAUUUUUAAAAUAUUUUUAAAAUACUUUUUUUAAUUUUCUAAAAUUUUUUUGGUGUUUAUUUAAAAAAUGGGUCGGGUUGGGCCUGGGCCUAGGACUCGGGUUGAAAUUUUUUAUGGGCCCGGUCUGACCCGGCCCAUGAACACCUCUAGUUUGGACUGUGCUGGAUAUAGUUGGCAUGCCAUAAGGUCAGAGUAUUGAGUAAAACCAUCGUUGCCAGAAAAUCUGGCGUGGUAGAUGUUAUACAUCGAGUCAUCGUUUCCAAGCAACCUGGAGUGACAGAUUCGUGUAUCCACAUAGAGUCCGUGUCAAGUUAAUAGUGUUAAAAAUACAUGAUUUGGUUAAAUGAUAAUGAAAUGAAAUGUUUUGGAAAUGUGAAAUUCUAUGUUGUAUGAUUUGGGUUGAAAACGAUACCCGAGGACUAAUGGAUCAAGAUCGAGCUUAUAGACUCAGAGAUUGUUAUUAUGAUACUUGAAAUUGAGUAAAUAUGAAUAUGUACAUAUGAUAAUAAUUUACAAUUAUAAUUAUGACAUGUUGAUGAGUUUAUUUAUAUGGAAGAAGGACAGAAAUGAGAAUGCAAAUAAAUAGGUUAGCAUUGUCAUGUACUUGAGUAGGUAACUGAGAUACGUAUAAGUAUAUUACUUAAAUUUUGACGUAGUUGAGAAGAAUGACAUGAAAUUUUGUAUGAAAUUAACUUGACUUAAUUGUAUGCAUUUGCAUAUUCAAUUUAUGUUAACUUGAAUCAUAGUUUACUAUUGAGAAAUUUUUUCAGCGUAUAGUUGUUUUUCCAUGCACGGGUUAGUAGAUUCCCAAGCAAGCAGGUAGUAGAUCUCAGCAUCUAGAGGACAACUGCCUGACUCAGCAAUGUUUGUAAAUCCCAUUUUGGUUUUAAGUUGGCAUGUACAUAGUCGAGUCAAAUUUUGGAUUGCUUUAAAGUUCUUGAUACUUUUGGAGUUUGGCAUUUUAUGAUAUGUACAUAUGUAUAUGCCUAUAAUGUCUUAUGAAAUCUUACUUAUAUGUUCUUAUUUAUAAAUGGAUGUAAUGUUAAUGGCCUAUGGGGAAAUUUAAUAAUAAUGUGUAAAACUAAUAUGAAAUGCAUAGUGAGAUAGUCUAAAUGGUGCUUAGGUACAUUAUGAUUAAGAUAUUAAAGUGCAUAAUUGAAGUUAGUAAAUGGUAUGCAUCAAUUGCUUAGGAAUUAUUAAGGUGUGAUGUAUUUACUUGAAGAGGCUAUAUGAUUAAGGGUGA